UUCCAGAGUGGCUCUGUAGCUCCCCGACAGAGACAGGAGGAUGUCAGCAAGACUUAGAGGGGGCUUUCUGAUCUCUGAGCUGUUGCUCAUCACAAAACCCCUUCCUGGGGUGUCUUGGGGGAAGUUGGAAAGUGUACAAUAGAUUUUUUUUUAACUAUUGUCACCCUAUUGAUCUACUGAACAUGAGGUCUUGUUUCUUUUAUCUAACUGUAUAUUUGUACCCAUCAAUCAACCCCUCUUUAUCCUUUGGUGUCACUUCACUGAAGACUGAGCCGAGAGGGCACUCGAGACAGCUUGCUGGCUGGGUGGGGAGGAUUUCAGGCUUGAAUCUGUUUUCCUUUCAUUCAUCUGCCUCUUACGGUUCCAGUUCUUAGUUGGUGGGGGGGGGCAGUCAUUUAUGAAAUGAAAUCAUAAACUGGGACUGUUUUGAGGAUGAAGAGGGUGGGCACAGACCAUGUCAAUGUCACCCAUGCAGCUUUAAGGGAACGUGCUGGCUAGUAAGUGAUAGCACAUGAUACAAGGACAGCCUUGGGCUGGUCCAGUGCAUCCCUGAUGCCUCGUGGGGUGCAGGCGCCAUGCGGGGUGCAGUCCUGCAGGUGUCACAGUCUGACCUGGGCACCGCAGAGUCUAGCGGGUUGGGAGACAGGACACUGGCAGCAGCCUGUGGAGGGUGUGAUGUGAUGGACAGUGCUGUCCGUGGGAUGGGUGGGCACAGGAAGUAGGCGCGGGGCUCAGGACAGCUCUUGGGGCACUAUCUGGGAAUGUCAAUGAAGAAGGGCGGAAGAUCCUUCAGGCCAGGGAGAGAGUGUAUUAAGAGUGGAGGUGGCAGGGACCCUCCAGGCAGGUGGAGGAUUUUCACCAUGACUAGAGCAGCAAAAGGGAACAGGAGCAGUGGGAGAUAAGGCUGGGCCCAGCUCGGGCCAGGCCAUGGAGACUUGGGGCUUAGCUCUACUUGGGAGGGAAUAGAACUUUCUGCAGGGAGUUGUGCAUUCUAGCAAGACUGCGCUGGUAGCAAUGGCCUGGAUGAUACAAGAUGAGGGAUGCAGAGGCCAUUAAGAAUGGGCUGGGAGAGGAAGGGACAGCCAGAGAGGCAGAUUGGAGGACUCUGGUGCUGAGUGCGGAGCAUGAAGGUGGGAAGAGGGGUGUCCAGGCCUCCAUGGAGCUGGUGUCCCCUGUAGUACAUCAGAAGUAUCUUAGACAUGUGCUGCUUUUCUGACCAUCUUAUUUUUGAAUUGCAAAUAUGAAAAUAAAUAAGCUUUAAAAAAAGCCCUAAAGUUGAUUGUACUUGUUUUUGAAGAGAAACGUUGGAAAUUAACUCACAGUUUCUGAGGUCUCCAAGUUGCCUUCCAAUUCCUGUUGAAAACUUGGACAGGGGACUUGUAACAUCCUUGUCGACUGUCCUUAUUAACUCCACAUUUUAUUUCAAUUGUGCUUAGCACCUGCCUCCAAUUACUCGGCUCUGGCAGAGAGCAGAGCUCUGAUUAAACGCUGGGCUCUGUGUUAGUACAGCAUUACCCAGGCACAGGCCAUCAUCCAUCUUCAUCAAGCCUGCGGCCUCAGUGGCCUGACAGCCAUUCCAGGAAGGACCAAGGAUGGUUAGCACCCAGAGGCUGCAUCACCCAAGAUAGGCUCUGUGGUGCCCAGAGAAUGAUUUGUAUUCAUUACUGUUCUCUCCAAUCAUUGUCCAGGCUUUUCAUGGGCUGCUGGUGAGCUGGCACAGACAGCCUGGCCAGGAUGUAAAAGGGAGGGCAUGGGGCAUGGGGAGGUUAAUGACAGGGAGGAUGCAGAUGACAAUGACUACCAGAUAAGGUGGGGGCAUCGGGGUUGCCACAGCUGUGGACGAGCCCCGUCACUGCCGGAGCACCUGCCCUGGUGGGGCAGCACCCACCACAGGACUGAUCCUCCCUGUGUGUGCCGCACAAUGAGGUCAUGAGGCCAGCAUUCUCAGGUUCUUUUUCCAUUUUAUAGAUGAGGAAAUGGGGAUUGCCUCAUGACCGCUCACCCAGAACAAGGAAUCUGUGUUCCCAAAGCCCACCACAGAGCAUGUCUGCUCCCCUCCAGCCCCCAUCCAAUGCUUGAGAAAAUGACUUUCCCACCCUCACUGCUCCCGGCCAGGAGAUGCUCCUGCCCAGUGGGGCCAGGUGACUGUGGUCAGGAGCGGUCACCUCCACCACUUCCCUGGCACAUAGGCAACUUGAUUCAAGCAGGGCUGAUGACUGGAGGUGUUAAAUGCAGGUAAGUGUGUGUGUAAAGCCGAAUGUUUAGCCCUGGAACACAGGAGGAAAUAAGUGGGGAGCCCCCUGAUUCCUGGGGUCGGCGAGAGCUGGGUUGGAGGGGCAGCUCAGCUUCAGUGUUCUGCUGUCUUGAUCUUGGGCAAGUCUCUCAUGGGUGAAAGACUGCCUCAGGGAGGCACACCCCUGAGAUGGAGCUGCAGGGUCACCUUU
Molecule: long non-coding RNA, 2444 nt
Filed under: Homo sapiens (human)
Lineage: Eukaryota; Metazoa; Chordata; Mammalia; Primates; Hominidae
Description: non-protein coding lnc-PTPN20-2:1
Source: RNAcentral